GAAGCUGGCUAGACAGUCGCUGCGCGCGUAAGCGCGGAGAGGAAAGUCCGGGCUCCAUAGAGCAGGAUGCCGGUUAACGACCGGAGGCCGUGAGGCCAUGGAAAGUGCCACAGAAAAUACACCGCCGAUGGCCGUUCCGCAAGGGGUGGAUCAGGUAAGGUUGAAAUGGCGAGGUAAGAGCUCACCGCGCACCUGGCAACAGGAGUGGCAGGGUAAACCCCAUCCGGAGCAAGACCAAAUAGGCAGGCGUUGAGGCGGCUCGUCGAGCCUGCGGGUAGGUUGCUUGAGUUCACGGGUAACCGUGCGCCUAGAGGAAUGACUGUCCACGACAGAACCCGGCUUAUCGGCCAGCUUCACCC
This 359-nucleotide RNase P RNA is filed under the name Sulfuricella denitrificans skB26. Its description in RNAcentral is "Bacterial RNase P class A". It matches the Rfam family "Bacterial RNase P class A". Rfam says of the family: Ribonuclease P (RNase P) is a ubiquitous endoribonuclease, found in archaea, bacteria and eukarya as well as chloroplasts and mitochondria. Its best characterised activity is the generation of mature 5'-ends of tRNAs by cleaving the 5'-leader elements of precursor-tRNAs. Cellular RNase Ps are ribonucleoproteins. Lineage: Bacteria; Pseudomonadati; Pseudomonadota; Betaproteobacteria; Nitrosomonadales; Sulfuricellaceae. The record is from Rfam by way of RNAcentral.